GGAUGUGGCCACUUGAAUCUCACUAUCUCCCACGGCCAGGAGUCUCUGCUGGUGUCACCCCCAUAUCUUCCCAGCUGGCUAGGCUGGUGUCCUCUUCCUCCCUCACCACUCCAUCUGUGUCUUUCCUGAAGCUGUGCUCAGUCAAAGAGGUCAACCUUCCCCAAACUGAGGAGAACCAGGCUUAGGUCAAGGGAGUGUGAGUAGCUGUCCCCUGCUCGGACCUCCAAACCAGCUCAUGGUCCAUUUGAAUUGCUCUUCCAAAUGUUCCUGUAUAGAAGACAGAGGUAUCACCCCACAGAGUGAGGAGUG
This 309-nucleotide small RNA is filed under the name Meriones unguiculatus (Mongolian gerbil). RNAcentral describes it as "7SK RNA (ENSMUGG00000015229.1)". It matches the Rfam family "7SK RNA". From Rfam's summary of the family: 7SK was discovered as an abundant small nuclear RNA in the mid-70s but a possible function has only recently been suggested. Two independent studies have found that 7SK RNA binds the CDK9/cyclin T complex (known as elongation factor P-TEFb). Lineage: Eukaryota; Metazoa; Chordata; Mammalia; Rodentia; Muridae. The record is from RNAcentral.